Molecule: microRNA precursor, 68 nt
Filed under: Papaver somniferum (opium poppy)
Lineage: Eukaryota; Viridiplantae; Streptophyta; Magnoliopsida; Ranunculales; Papaveraceae
Also listed under: 3 other names
Description: mir-2 microRNA precursor family
Rfam family: mir-2 microRNA precursor family
About the family: The miRNAs are transcribed as ~70nt precursors (modelled here) and subsequently processed by the Dicer enzyme to give a ~22nt product. In this case the mature sequence comes from the 3' arm of the precursor.
Source: Rfam by way of RNAcentral
GUACUUUUCAAAGUGGCUGUUGUAUGUACCGUGUUGAUUCAUAUCACAGCCAGCUUUGAGAGUUACUG